AACGAACGCUGGCGGCAGGCCUAGCACAUGCAAGUCGAGCGAACCCUUCGGGGUUAGCGGCGGACGGGUUAGUAACGCGUGGGAAUAUACCCUUUGGUACGGAAUAGCCUCGGGAAACUGAGAGUAAUACCGUAUGUGCCCUUCGGGGAAGAUUUAUCGCCAAAGGAUUAGCCCGCGUUGGAUUAGAUAGUUGGUGGGGUAAUGGCCUACCAAGUCUACGAUCCAUAGCUGGUUUGAGAGGAUGAUCAGCAACACUGGGACUGAGACACGGCCCAGACUCCUACGGGAGGCAGCAGUGGGGAAUCUUAGACAAUGGGCGCAAGCCUGAUCUAGCCAUGCCGCGUGGACGAUGAAGGCCUUAGGGUUGUAAAGUCCUUUCAGAUGGGAAGAUAAUGACGGUACCAUCAGAAGAAGCCCGGCUAACUCCGUG
This 430-nucleotide ribosomal RNA is filed under the name uncultured bacterium. RNAcentral describes it as "bacterial SSU rRNA". It matches the Rfam family "Bacterial small subunit ribosomal RNA", at positions 29 to 507 of the family's 1533-position model. The record is from RNAcentral.